UGGGGAAUAUUGGACAAUGGGCGCAAGCCUGAUCCAGCCAUGCCGCGUGUGUGAAGAAGGCCUUUUGGUUGUAAAGCACUUUAAGCGAGGAGGAGGCUACUUGGAUUAAUACUCUAGGAUAGUGGACGUUACUCGCAGAAUAAGCACCGGCUAACUCUGUGCCAGCAGCCGCGGUAAUACAGAGGGUGCGAGCGUUAAUCGGAUUUACUGGGCGUAAAGCGUGCGUAGGCGGCUUCUUAAGUCGGAUGUGAAAUCCCUGAGCUUAACUUAGGAAUUGCAUUCGAUACUGGGAAGCUAGAGUAUGGGAGAGGAUGGUAGAAUUCCAGGUGUAGCGGUGAAAUGCGUAGAGAUCUGGAGGAAUACAGAUGGCGAAGGCAGCCAUCUGGCCUAAUACUGACGCUGAGGUACGAAAGCAUGGGGAGCAAACAGG
This 430-nucleotide ribosomal RNA is filed under the name bacterium. Its description in RNAcentral is "partial 16S ribosomal RNA". It matches the Rfam family "Bacterial small subunit ribosomal RNA", at positions 355 to 776 of the family's 1533-position model. The record is from RNAcentral.